CCUGUUGUUAAGGAAGGAGAACGACUGUCGAUCGUAUGUUACAAAUGCGGAGGGGAGGGACACAUAAGUCCAAGGCAUGUUACAAUGUUGGAAGAGAAGGUCACCUAGCCCAAUUUUGUCGUGCACUGAAGUCAAGUCCAGCUGGGAUGGAGGCAUCAAAGGUUGUCCCAGACAAGAAAAAAUUGGUAGUUCAAGGGAGAGCGUUUGUCGUAACCUCCCAAAAAGCGAGGAAUCCAAACGAGGUGAUCACGGGUAAGCUAAUCAUCAACUCUAGCGAAGUAUAUACCUUAUUUGAUGCCAG
This 301-nucleotide long non-coding RNA is filed under the name Panax ginseng (ginseng). RNAcentral describes it as "long non-coding RNA (PGIN_LNC003673)". The record is from RNAcentral. Lineage: Eukaryota; Viridiplantae; Streptophyta; Magnoliopsida; Apiales; Araliaceae.